GAUGAACGCUGGCGGCGUGCCUAAUACAUGCAAGUCGAGCGAACAGACGAGGAGCUUGCUCCUCUGACGUUAGCGGCGGACGGGUGAGUAACCCGUGGAUAACCUCCCUAUAAGACUGGGAUAACUUCGGGAAACCGGAGCUAAUACCGGAUAAUCUAUUGAACCGCAUGGUUCAAUAGUGAAAGACGGUUUUGCUGUCACUUAUAGAUGUAUCCGCGCCGCAUUAGCUAGUUGGUAAGGUAACGGCUUACCAAGGCGACGAUGCGUAGCCGACCUGAGAGGGUGAUCGGCCACACUGGAACUGAGACACGGUCCAGACUCCUACGGGAGGCAGCAGUAGGGAAUCUUCCGCAAUGGGCGAAAGCCUGACGGAGCAACGCCGCGUGAGUGAUGAAGGUCUUCGGAUCGUAAAACUCUGUUAUUAGGGAAGAACAAAUGUGUAAGUAACUAUGCACGUCUUGACGGUACCUAAUCAGAAAGCCACGGCUAACUACGUG
RNAcentral lists this ribosomal RNA (497 nucleotides) under uncultured bacterium. RNAcentral describes it as "partial 16S ribosomal RNA". It matches the Rfam family "Bacterial small subunit ribosomal RNA", at positions 28 to 507 of the family's 1533-position model. The record is from RNAcentral.